RNAcentral lists this long non-coding RNA (40470 nucleotides) under Citrus maxima (pomelo). RNAcentral's name for it is "long non-coding RNA (CMAX_LNC003355)". The stretch from base 30745 to 30848 matches the Rfam family "Plant small nucleolar RNA R71". Lineage: Eukaryota; Viridiplantae; Streptophyta; Magnoliopsida; Sapindales; Rutaceae. The record is from RNAcentral.
GCAAAAGCAGUUAAUCAAGAUAUUGCAAGUAUAAAGAUUUGGAAACAACCCAGUUGAAUUAAGUCGCUUGAAGAGUGAAAGGACAGUAUCAUAAUGUUUAUUCUUAGCAAGACAACCAAACAAAAUAUUGAAGGAAGAGACAGGAGGCGGAGAAGGGUGCAUACGGAGCAUGUAAUCAAAGAUACACAAGGCUUCAUUAGGAGUAAUAGUAGUAAUAUCACCUUCACCUGAUGAUUUGAACCUUUCUCUGAGGAAAUUUUCGAGUGAGGCUCGGUCUUUGACUGUCAGUAGUAGCGACUCCUUCAGUUUAGUUUUUGUAGUCGGAUAUGAGGGUUCAUUUUUCGAAAUUGAAGAUGUGGGUUUUCUCGUGUGAGGGAAUGACGAUAAGAAAUUACAUGUAAGAGCUGAUACUGAAAUUGAAGUAAAAUAAAAUGAACGAUGUGAGGAUACAACAGCCAUUGGAGAGUUUUUGAUUAUUUGGGGUUGAAGAAGAAGAAUGGAAUUACCAAAAUAGAAGAGUAACCUGCUCUUUUAUUUCCAUUCCGAUUUUGAACAGGUAGGUUACAAUUUACAUCAUACCAUUAUACAUCAUACCAUUAAUCGUAUUGUACUGUUAAUUUUACAAUCAAACAAAUCAAACAAAUAAAACUAAUAAAACUAAUUUAAUCAAACAAGUAGGGUACUUAAGAUAGACAAUCAAACAAAUUAUAAAUUUUGUAAUUCUUUUUAACGUAGAAUGCAAUUAGGAUAGAUGGUUGAUAAUUUGCUACAUUAUAAGAAAAAGUUUAUUGUUUUCGUAAAGGACUCACUUGCUAAAAAAUUAAUAAUUGGUAUCGAUUAAGAUAUCAUUUUAAAUUUUUGUAAUGUAGAAAGAAGAUCUAAUAUAGUAUUUUUCGUAUCACAGAUUCAUAUGACGUAUCCUAGAGGUUUUUUGUAAAUUCGUUCCCAAUAUUACUUAUUUGGAGUAAUGAUACAGCCACAAACUCUUGUACAAACUUAUUUUGUACAAACUGAUGUGACAUGAUAAGAUUGGUUGAAUUAAAUAUCACUUGGCCCACAUGAUUUGUUUUUAUUAAUUUAUAUUUUCAUUCGACCAAUGAAUUAAUGCCACGUCAGUUUGUACAAAAUAAAUUUGUACAAGAGUUUGUGGCUGUAUCAUUACUCUACUUAUUUAUUCUUAAAAUGAAUCUCCACUUACACCUUAUUUCCAACUUUUUGUAAUGCAUAAAAAAAGUUAAUGUUAUAUUCUCAAAUUACUAUUUGUCCAACAACUAUCUUUUAACUCAUAAACAUUUAGUUUUAUUUAUAUUAACAACAAAUUAAUAUAUAUGAGGUUCUACUUAAUUAAGAGAAACCUAAAUUGAUAAGACUGUUAAGAGCAAACUAGAAAUGAGGUGCUUUUGGAUAAAUAAAACAAGUGAAAAUUUUUCAUCAAACCAUUUGGCAUGUUAUUUGAAAGCUUGCCUCACUAGAAAAAUUUUAGGUGAAAUUUUUCUUUUUGAGAGUAGCAGAAAGCUUACUUUGAACGGUUGAAGAUUUAUGGAAGGAAAAGGUGCUUCAAGAUCCUAGAUGUAAAUUUGCUAUAAUAAUGUGGAGGGCAUAUCUCAUGCUCUGAUGAAAAAUUUGGUGAAAUUCCUAAUUGGCAGCAGAUUUUGAAAAGGAAAUUAAACAUAUAAGAUAUUAUUAGUUUACUACACACCUUGCCUUAGCAGCAGUGCAAUUUGAAUGGUGAGUCAAUAGCACCUAUAUGUGCUUUGGGUGAUACUAGGAAUGCAAGGAACAAAAUGUGUUAACAUAAAUAUGUUAAUAAUAUUGAUUUUGAUGAUAACAAAUUUUAAAUGUAUUUUGACAAAAAUAUUGGAGCUAUUUCUUAAUAAACGAAAACCAUUUUAAUCAUUGCCUUAUUUAUUCAUAAAAGAUGGAUUUUCAAAUUAGAAAGAAAUUCUCUACAAAAACUUGUUUAAAAUUACAAUUCUGGUCAUAAACGGUGAACCGUUUAUUUUAAACGGUUAACCGAUUAAAGGCAGAGAGUAACACAUUUCCUAAACCUCUAACCGUUUAUGAAAAACGGAAAACACAAAAGAUAGGGAGGUUACUGGAAAUUAACGGUAAACCGUUUUAUUUUAAACGGUUAACCGAUUAUCACCAGAGAGCAACAUAUUACCUAAGCUCUAACCGUUUAUGCUUAACGGAAAACACCCAAGAUGGGAAGGCUACUGGAACCUAACGGUGAACCGUUUAUUUUAAACGGUUAAUCGAUAACGUCCAGAAUUGAUGGUUGUCCUCCUCUGGCAUUGAUUAACGAAAACUGAUAAGGCUGAAUUGUUGUGCAGGUUACUGGGGCCAAACGGCAAACCGUUUAUUAUUAAACGGUCAACCGAUAAUACCCAGAGAAGCCACUUUAUGCAAUCCCCUAACCGCUAAAUGAAAACGGAUUAACUGAUGUUCAUUUUGCAGGUUACUGGAGACAAACGGCUAACCGUUUAUUUCAAACGGUUAACCGAUAAUAUCCAGAAACGUUACUUCAUGCAAGUCCUUAACCGUUUAGUGUAAAUGGAUAACAAAUGCUCAUCUUGCAGGUCUCUGGACGUUAACGGCGAAAGGGCAACCCUAAACGGCAAACCGUUUGUUUGAAAUCUGGCCCAACGGUAACUUUGACCAACCGAAACGGUUAACCGUUUAUGGUUAACGGCGAACUGUUUUCUGUCCGACAGUUUGUAACGGCUAGAUUUUCAGCUCCGGAUAUAAAUAAGCUCAUUCAAAUUCAAAGAAGGCUGAUCACAACACAACCAUUUGAGCUAAUAUUCGAGAAUACAAUCUUCAUAGAGCUUAGAACACAUUCUUGCUUCAUCUAUUCACAUAUUAAGCAUCAUUGAGUAAUCUUAUAUAUUGUGAGAGGCAAAACAAUUUGUAAUCUUUUACUUUGAGUGAUUGUAAGUGUUGGGAUACACUUGGGUUAAGAGAUUGGGGAUAAUCUCUUGUUGUAAAGGUCCAUUGACACCUUGGAAGUCAAGUGUAAGCAUUUGAAGCCUUGGAGGCUUGCUUAGUGGAAUCCUCAAGCCCGGAAAGCUUGGAGGCGUGGACGUAGGCAAGGUUGGCCGAACCACGUAAAAAUCUCGUGUUUGAAUCUCUCUUCCCUUAUCUUUUUAUAUUGUGAUCAUCUUAAUUGUUAUUGCUUUGAAUUUGAGUUAUAAUUGCAUUAAGAUUUUCUUUAAUAUUGAAUAAUUUUUUAGAAUCCCAAUUCACCCCCCCUCUUGGGUUGCUUACUUGUAUUUCAAUUGGUAUCAGAGCCUCGUUCUCUUGUUAAGACUUAAUCGUCUAGAGUAAAAGAUCCAUGGCAACCCUAAAUGACUCAACCUUUAGAUAAGGGCAAUCCACAACUAGACCACCAUUUUUUGAUGGUAAUGAUUAUGCUUAUUGGAAAACUAGAAUGAGAAUCUAUUUGCAAGCCUUAGAUUAUGAAAUUUGGGAAGUUGUUUGUGAUGGUCCAUUCAUGCCUACGUUCAAAGAUGAAGUAGGAGAUGAUAUUCCUAAACCAUCGAGUCAAUGUAGUGAGUUAGAAAAGAGAAAGAUGUCUCUAAACUCCAAGGCUAUGAAUGCUUUGUUUUGUGCCCUUGAUAAGAAAGAAUUCCAUAGAGUAUCUAGUUGUAAAAGUGCACAAGAGAUAUGGAACAAACUUGAAGUUGUCUAUGAAGGGACAAAUCAAGUGAAAGAGUCUAAAAUCAGUAGAUACACUCGCCAAUAUGAGUUGUUCCAAAUGGAACAAAAUGAAAAUGUGUAUUCUAUGUACACUAGAUUCACGGACAUAGUGAACACCCUAGGUGCCUUAGGGAAAACCUUCUCAAAUAGUGAGAAAGUUAAGAAAAUCAUUAGGUCACUUCCAAAAGAAUGGAGACCUAAAAGAACCGCUAUUGAAGAGGCCAAAGAUUUAAAUACUUUACCUCUUGAUGAUUUAAUUGGUUCUCUUAUUUCGUAUGAAGAGGAUUUAGCUGCAGAAAAAGGACAUGAGGAGAAGAAGAAAAGCAUUGCUCUCAAAGCUUCAAAAUAUGAGAGUGAUGAGGAGAGUGAACCGGAUGAUGAAGAACUAGCCAUGCUAGCAAGGAGGUUCAGAAAAUUCUUCAAGAAAACCGGAGAGCGAAGAAAUUUCAGAAACUUCAAGAACUAUAGGGAGAAGAAUGAGGCAAUCACUUGCUAUGAAUGCAAGAAGCCUGGACAUAUAAGAUCGGAGUGCCCACUUAUCAACAAACUCAAGAAGAAAGCAAUGGUUGCAACUUGGGAUGAUAGUGAGGAAGAAUCAAAUGAUGAAGAAGGAUCGCAAGAAGUAUCAAACCUAGCACUCAUGGCAAUAGGAGGGGAUGAUGAUCUCAAUGAGGUAAGUGAUCCUACCUAUGAUGAAUUAUAUGAUGCUUUUCAAGAUUUGCAUAAUGAGUUGAUUAAAAUUGGUAAAAAGAAUGUAUGUCUUAAAAAGGAAAUGGCAAAGCUUAAAAAUGAAAAUGAAUCUCUAAAUGCAAGAAUUAUAUGCCUAGAAGUAGGAAACAAAACAUUGCAUGAUGAAAUUGCAUUAUCAAAUGAGAAACCUAGCAUCUUACAUGAGCAUUUGAAAUCACACAUAGAUGAGUUGAAAAAUGAGAACGAAUUGCUCAAGAAAACGAAUAAUGAAUUAAAUGAAAUUGUUUUGAAAUUUACAAAUGGGCAAAAGAUGUUGGAUAAUAUGCUUAACUCACAAAAAUGUGUUUUUGAUAAAGGAGGACUUGGAUAUAAGCCAAACUUGAAGCAAAAGUAUUAUAAGAAUUAUUUUGUUAAAGCUACCUCCACAAAUGAUCAUAAGAUUGUAUGUCAUUAUUGUAAUCAAAAUGGUCACAUGAAAUUUAGAUGUCCUGUGAAAAGGAAUGCAUAUUAUGGUGUCAAGUGCAUUUGGGUUCCAAAAGGAACCGUUGCUAACUCUCAAGGACCCAAAAAGCUUUAGGUACCUAAAACUUGAGACUUUUUCUUGUAGGGCUUGAAGAAGAAGAAGAAUAAAUGGUUCUUGGACAGCGGUUGUUCAAGGCACAUGACCGGAAACUAUGCAUGGUUCUCAAGCUUUACCAAAAUUGAAAAUGGUGGAGACGUAUCCUUUGGAGACAACUCAAAAGGAAAAAUCCUUGGAAUUGGAAAUGUUGGUAAAGUUUCUUCAACUCUAAUUGAGAAUGUAUGUUUGGUUGAAAACUUGAAACACAACUUAAUUAGCAUUAGUCAAUUAUGUGACAAAGGUUAUAAAGUUAUCUUUGAUAAAUUUAGUUGUGUUAUUGAGAACUCAUGUGAUGGCAAAACCUUAUUUGUUGGAAAUAGAUGUGAUUUGUUGGAAAUAGAUGUGGUAAUGUUUAUAUCAUUGACAUAGAAUGUGCAUCUACUCUUGAUAAAUGUUUUUCGGCAUUGCAUGAUGAUUGUUGGUUGUGGCAUAGAAGGUUAGGACAUGCAAGUAUGGAUUUGAUUUCAAAAAUUUCGAAAGAUGAUUUAGUUAAAGGUCUUCCGAAAAUUGGUUUUCAAAAGAAUAAGAUUUGUGAAGCUUGUUAAUUUGGAAAACAAAUUAAAACUUCUUUCAAGAAUAAAAAUAAUAUUUCUACUUCAAAACCACUUGAACUUCUUCACAUAGAUCUUUUUGGGCCAUCUAGAUAUGCAAGUCUAAAUGGCAAAUAUUAUGCUUUUGUGAUAGUGGAUGAUUAUUCUAGAUAUACAUGGGUAUUAUUCUUAGCCAAUAAGGAUGAUGCUCUUAAUGCAUUUAAAGUGCUUUGUAAGAAAUUACAAAAUGAAAAAGGGCAUGGUAUUGUAUGCAUUAGGAGUGAUCAUGGAGGAGAAUUUGAAAAUCAUGCAUUUGAGAGUUUUUGCAAUAAUCUAGGCAUUGAGCAUCAAUUUUCUUCACCUAGAACUCCAUAACAAAAUGGAGUUGUUGAGAGAAAGAAUAGGUCUAUUCAAUAAAUGGCUAGGACCAUGUUAAAUGAAAAUGCAUUACCAAAAUAUUUUUGGGCCGAAGCCGUCAACACCGCUUGUUAUGUUUUAAAUCGGGUGUUGAUUAGACCUAAUCUUAAUAAAACUCCAUAUGAGCUUUGGAAAGAUAGAAAACCCAACAUUGGCUAUUUUAAAGUUUUUGGAUGCAAAUGUUUUGUAUUGAACACAAAAGACAAUCUUGGUAAAUUUGAUUCAAAAUCCGAUGUUGGUAUUUUUCUUGGUUAUUUAAAUUCAAGCAAAGCUUAUAGAGUCUAUAACAAAAGAACUUUAGUUGUGGAAGAAUCUAUGCAUGUCACAUUUGAUGAGUCUAACCCCUCCUCUACGGAGAAAGUCGUUGUUGAUGAUGAUGUAGGAGAAGAAGAACAAGAAGAAGAAGCAUCAAAUGACAAUCAAGAGGAUGCACCACAUGGAAUUCAAGAGGAACAUCAUGAAGAACUAAAUGCGGAGCAAAAUGAAGGUACUUCUCAAACACUCCCCAAGGAGUAGAGGUAUGUCUCUUCUCACCCUAAAGAUGUAAUUUUAGGAGAUCCCUUACGAGGUAUUACAACUAGAUCAUCACUUAGAAAUACUUGUGAGCAUAAUGCAUUCAUCUCUCAAAUUGAACCAAAAUCCUUUGAGGAUGCAGAAAAUGUUGAAUCUUGGAUUAUGGCAAUGCAAGAGGAGUUAAAUCAAUUUGAAAGAAACAAUGUGUGGGAAUUAGUUCCCAAACUUGAACAUCAAUCUGUAAUAGGUACUAAAUGGGUGUUUAGAAAUAAGAUGGAUGAAUCCGGCGUGGUUGUAAGAAACAAAGCUAGAUUAGUGGCUCAAGGUUACAACCAAGAAGAAAGAAUUGAUUUUGAUGAAACCUUUGCUCCUGUAGCAAGGUUAGAAUCCAUUAGAAUGUUGUUAGCAUAUGCAUGUCAUAAAGAUUUUAUUUUAUUUCAAAUGGAUGUGAAAAGUGCUUUCCUAAAUGGAUAUAUUAUGGAAGAAGUGUAUGUAAAACAACCCCCUGGUUUUGAAAAUGAAAAAUUUCCAAAUCAUGUUUAUAAGUUGCUUAAAGUCUUGUAUGGUUUAAAACAAGCACCUAGAGCAUGGUAUGAUAGACUUAAGAAUUUUCUGUUGGAAAAUGACUUCUCAAUGGGUAAAGCGGAUACUACUCUAUUUGUUAAGCAUAAAAACCAAGACAUACUUAUUGUUCAAAUUUAUGUUGAUGAUAUUAUUUUUUGUUCUACUAAUGAGUUGUUGUGUAAAGAAUUUUCAUCGUGUAUGAGCAAAGAAUUUGAGAUGAGUAUGAUGGGAGAGUUGAAAUACUUCCUUGGACUUCAAAUCAAACAAAACGAGGAAGGAAUUUUCAUAAAUCAAGCCAAGUACGUAAAAGAUCUACUCAAACGAUUCGGCAUUGAUGAUUCAAAGACCAAGAAUACACCAAUGAGCACAACAACCAAGCUGGACAAAGAUGAAAAAGGUAAAGAAGUGGACAUCAAAAUGUAUCGAGGUAUGAUCGGAUCCCUACUUUAUUUGACUGCAAGUAGACCCGAUAUCAUGUUUAGUGUAUGUUUGUGUGCAAGAUUUCAGUCUUGUCCCAAGGAAUCUCAUUUGCUAGCUGUUAAAAGAAUUUUCCGUUAUUUGAGUGGAACCAUAGAUAUUGGCCUUUGGUAUCCUAGGAGAACUCACAUAGAUUUAACAUGCUUUUCGGAUGCGGAUUUUGCUGGUUAUAAAGUGGAUAGGAAGAGCACUAGUGGAACUUGCUAUAUUCUAGGACACUCUCUUGUUUCAUGGUUUAGCAAGAAACAAAAUUCUGUCGCACUUUCAACUACCGAGGCUGAAUAUAUAGCUGCCGGAAGUUGUUGUGCACAAGCUCUUUGGAUGAAACAAACACUUAGAGAUUAUGGCAUUAAUCUUGAACAAAUUCCUAUUAAGUGUGAUAAUACUAGUGCUAUAAAUCUUUCAAAGAAUCCCAUUCAACACUCUCGAACAAAGCAUAUAGAAAUAAGACAUCAUUUCUUGAGAGAUCAUGUUCAAAAGGGAGAUAUUGCAUUAGAGUUUAUUUCCACAGAAAAGCAACUUGCCGAUAUUUUCACAAAACCGCUUUGCGAAGAACAAUUUUCAAAAAUUCGGCAUGAACUUGGGAUGAUGAAAUUUUUGCAUUAACAUCUCUAUUCAUGCUAUUGAGUGUACUAAAUUGAUUGAUUACUACUUAUAAAAUGCUUGAGCUUGGUAGACAAAUGAUGAAUUUGCAUUGAUAACUCUUGAGUAUAUGUAUUGAUUGGUUGAAAACAUGUUCAUGAAUCAUGCAUUAAAAUGGCUCAUAAAAUAUGUUCAGAUCGAUUAAAUGAUCUUGGAAUAUAUUAUUUGCUGGCCAAAAAUUAAAUCAAAUGUGCGAAAUUACAGAUAAAAUAAACGGUUAGCCGUUUCCUGUAAACGGAUCACCGUUUAAUUCCAGAAACGAGAUUGUGUGUCUGUCCAGUUACCCUUUCACCGUUUGCCACAAUCGGUGAAUCAUUUUUGAACAGAGAGUCCUCUAACAGUUACCCCUUAGCCGUUAAGCGAUUAGGCUUACACCGUUUCUGUUUCUUCAGCCCCUGGGAGUUACCCUUUAACCGUUUCAAUAAACGGUUAACCGUUUUCGCGAAGUAUAAAAACUGUUCAAAGGUUUUCUUCUCCUUCUCCAGUUACCCUCUCACCGUUUCCUCUAUUGUUGCGCAGCCGAAGGUCUCUUUGUCCUCAAAUCCUCAUUUUUCUUGCUUUCCGUGCCAAAUCAAACCCUCAAAAUCAUUUAUUAUCACCUUUAGAACAUUUCUACUGAUUCAAAACUUCAAAUCGAACCCAAAAUUCAAAAAUCCCAAAUCUAAACCCUAACUGUCGCGGGUCGAGUUUCUUUGUCCUUAAUCCGAUUUCCACCUUUCUUCAACCAAAUUAAACAUCCUACUCACAUCCUCUACUCUUCCUUAAACCUUUUAUCGAUUUACUUUCGUGUUUCCAUGGCUGAACCCUCUCGGAGAAAUCCUAGGCGUAAAUCUGUGCCUCCAAGGAAUCCCAUACCACCUCGGGAGGUCUCUGAAUUUUCAAGGAUUCACUUCCCCACUCCUGCCUUGGCUAAGCGGUUUGAGGAUCGCUUCGAUGGUCGAAAGGUACUUGAUCCUUUUUUUGUUGAUAUUGAUGAUUUCCGCAACUUGGUUGUUUGUGGUAGAAGUAUUAGGGAUAUGCUUCAGCCUUGGGAGGCUGCUAUUGACGUUGAUGAUCGGGUCUAUCCAAAUUUAGUGCGAGUCUUUUACUCCAACAUGGAAAUCUCCGAUACUCGCCCAAAUAGGAUAGUCACUCAAGUCGGCCGUGUACCCAUAGAAUUUGAUGAUGCGGACUUAGCUGACUUUCUAGGUAUCUCUUGUGAGGGGCUUGACAUUUACACCUCUAGGAAAACCCUCUCCUUUGAUACUUUUUAUCAUACUCAUGGCAUCCGUAAUAUAUGUCGUCGUAGAGACUUAUCGAAUGAGAUUUGUAUGCUUCCGUUUCGGUCUCAGCUUUUACCUCUCCAAGUUCGUAUUCUUCACUCUAUUUUACAGCACAUAAUGACUCCUAGGAAGGGUCACUCAGAUGAGGUUACGAGGUUGGACGUUGCCAUUUUGGAUAGCCUUCUUACAGACCGUCCCAUUAACCUCGGGUAUAUUAUUGUGCGACAUAUGUUGAGUACUCCAGCGGUCAACCACCGCUUGCUUCCUUAUGGCAUUAUCAUCACUAAAAUACUGCGACACUUUGAGGUGCCACUUCUUGAUACCGGUCAUAUGGAGACUCGACGGAUUGGUUCCGAGGCUGUGACCAGUAUCAGAUUCUCUAGGAAGAAUGGAGUGUGGAUAAAGACAAGCAACUCAAAAAACCGGGAUACCUUGAUUGCUGCAGAGGACGAUCGGAUGCUCAAUGAUAUCUAUACUCCCGAUCAGCUUCCUGACUUUAGAUUAGGAGCUCUUCCUCAUCCUCCGCGUCGUCAUUUUGUACCUCGGCCUCCUGUUGAUUCAGACCCUGAGGAGCCUGCGUUAGAUACUGACAUUCCCUCCUCUUCCGAGCUGCCUCCUGCUCCUAAGCCUUCUGUUGUUCCCGAGCAGCCAUCUGCCUCUAUGCCGCCUCCAGCUCCGGUUCAGCCCCCUGCUUCAGACGUAGUGCAGCAGCUGAUCACUGAUGUUCAGCGGAUUUCGGAGCGCCAGCAGCUGAUUCUUGAUCGGUUGGACACUCUUUCCCGUGACCACCAGCAGCUGCGUUCUGACUUUCAGAUAUUCCAGCGGCAGAGCCUUGAUCAGCAGAUGGAGCUUAUCGCUGGACAGCGCACUAUUCUCGGCUAUUUCGGCUAUGAUCCGGGGAGCACAUCUUCUCCGCCUCCGUAGUUUCUGAGCUUUGUCUUCGCACAUACAUUUUACAUUUUGGUUGCUAGCAUUUUUAUUAUUAUUUUGAUUUUGAUGCAUAUGUGUGUGAUGUUCUUGAUGAUUAGAUUAUUGAUGCUUUGUGAUUGCCUAAUUGGUUGGAUAUUGUAAAUGUGGUUUAUUUGUGGAUAUUGGAGUGUUGGUAUGUUUGUGGUUCUUGAAGUGUUCUUUUGAUGUGUUUAUGGAGUUGUUGGCUUGUUGAAAGAAGAAGUUGAUGUUCAUAUAUCUUUGGAAGUGUUCUAUCUCAUUUUGUAUAAUUGGUUUUGCUCAUUUUUAAGGGGAAACUCUGCCAAAAUUUUCGCUUGCCAAAACCGGGCACUUUCUUUAAAGGAUUUGCGUAUUUCUUCUUUCCUCUUUUCUUUUUGAUGAUGAAGGGGGAGAUAAUUUAUAGUUUUUAAGAUGAUUUUUUUAAAAAUGGGAAAUUUUUCUUUAUGGAUUUAAAAUGGGGAGAUUUAAAGCAAGAAUCCUUUUAUUCACAUUUCUCAAUUUGGCCAUACAUGUAGAGGGAGCACAUAUUCAGGGGGAGCUAAACAUUGAAUGAAAUUUUUCAUCAUAAAAAAGGGGGAGAUUGUUAACAUAAAUAUGUUAAUAAUAUUGAUUUUGAUGAUAACAAAUUUUAAAUGUAUUUUGACAAAAAUAUUGGAGCUAUUUCUUAAUAAACGAAAACCCUUUUAAUCAUUGCCUUAUUUCUUCAUAAAAGAUGGAUUUUCAAAUUAGAAAGAAAUUCUCUGCAAAAACUUGUUUAAAAUUGUAAUUCUGGUCAUAAACGGUGAAUCGUUUAUUUUAAACGGUUAACCGAUUAAAGGCAGAGAGUAACACAUUUCCUAAACCUCUAACCGUUUAUGAAAAACGGAAAACACAAAAGAUAGGGAGGUUACUGGAAAUUAACGGUAAACCGUUUUAUUUUAAACGGUUAACCGAUUAUCACCAGAGAGCAACAUAUUACCUAAGCUCUAACCGUUUAUGCUUAACGGAAAACACCCAAGAUGGGAAGGCUACUGGAACCUAACGGUGAACUGUUUAUUUUAAACGGUUAACCGAUAACGUCCAGAAUUGAUGGUUGUCCUCCUCUGGCAUUGAUUAACGAAAACUGAUAAGGCUGAAUUGUUGUGCAGGUUACUGGGGCCAAACGGCAAACCGUUUAUUAUUAAACGGUCAACCGAUAAUACCCAGAGAAGCCACUUUAUGCAAUCCCCUAACCGCUAAAUGAAAACGGAUUAACUGAUGUUCAUUUUGCAGGUUACUGGAGACAAACGGCUAACCGUUUAUUUCAAACGGUUAACCGAUAAUAUCCAGAAACGUUACUUCAUGCAAGUCCUUAACCGUUAAGUGUAAAUGGAUAACAAAUGCUCAUCUUGCAGGUCUCUGGACGUUAACGGCGAAAGGGCAACCCUAAACGGCAAACCGUUUAUUUGAAAUCUGGCCCAACGGUAACUUUGACCAACCGAAACGGUUAACCGUUUAUGGUUAACAGCGAACCGUUUUCUAUCCGACAGUUUGUAACGGCUAGAUUUUCAGCUCCGGAUAUAAAUAAGCUCAUUCAAAUUCAAAGAAGGCUGAUCACAACACAACCAUUUGAGCUAAUAUUCGAGAAUACAAUCUUCAUAGAGCUUAGAACACAUUCUUGCUUCAUCUAUUCACAUAUUAAGCAUCAUUGAGUAAUCUUAUAUAUUGUGAGAGGCAAAACAAUUUGUAAUCUUUUACUUUGAGUGAUUGUAAGUGUUGGGAUACACUUGGGUUAAGAGAUUGGGGAUAAUCUCUUGUUGUAAAGGUCCAUUGACACCUUGGAAGUCAAGUGUAAGCAUUUGAAGCCUUGGAGGCUUGCUUAGUGGAAUCCUCAAGCCCGGAAAGCUUGGAGGCGUGGACGUAGGCAAGGUUGGCCGAACCACGUAAAAAUCUCGUGUUUGAAUCUCUCUUCCCUUAUCUUUUUAUAUUGUGAUCAUCUUAAUUGUUAUUGCUUUGAAUUUGAGUUAUAAUUGCAUUAAGAUUUUCUUUAAUAUUGAAUAAUUUUUUAGAAUCCCAAUUCACCCCCCCUCUUGGGUUGGUUACUUGUAUUUCAAAAUGUUGAUUGGAAGGCAAUAAAGAAGAUCCCAUCAGAUUGAUAGCAAGAGCAGAGUAAUCACUUUGAGAGUCUUUUAGAGGAGUCAAGCAAUUAGAGGAAGCUUACGCUACAAGGAAGGAAACUGACAAACAGAAACAGUAGUGUCCUCCUUCUAAUCAUGGCUGGUUAAAAGCCAAUGUGGAUAUUGCUUCUGAUGUAGAAAAGGCAUUAGUAGGUUGGGAAGUUGUUGUUAGAGAUGACACUUAUGUUCAAAGUGAUAGUUAGUUCAAGUGGGAAGGGUUAUUAGUUUCUAAGCUUUUCACUAGAUGAAAAGUUUGAUCACAAUCUUAUCCAUCUUCUUGUAACUAAAGUCUUUGAGAGGCUUUGACAUAAUUGGACAAUCAACGUUGUUUCUGCAGUCUAGUGCACAACAAUAACAUGGAAUGGAAGCUUAAGCAUUGUUCUUGGUUGUGUUUCCUCUUAAAGAUCCUAGCUCUUUGCUGUAUUGAGAUCUAUGCUCCACUAUGGGCCCACCCACAUAUGCAUCUACAAAUUAAUGAUAAUAAUAACGCUUAUUUAACAAUAGUUAUAUUCACACAAAACUUAGUACAAAAAGAGUCUUUCUACUAAAUUUGCUAAUUUUUUUUAAGAAAUUGUAAAACGUUUAAUUAACGUAAGUAACUUAUACUUCUAAACUUCUCAUAUUAAUCCCUUAAAUACUUGAAUUUGAAUUCUAGUAAUUGAGAUUCCUUUAUGUAUUACUCUAUGUUUAUUUUUAAGAUAAUCCAAUACUUUUACUAACUUACAUUUACUAAAUUGAGAAUGGCAGAAUGUAAAUGCUGCUAGAAAUACUUUUAAUUACAAUUUCUUUUAUAUUAAUCAUUUUGAAUUGGUGCUUCCUAAUCAUAUAUUAUAUCCUACAUUAAAUGCUAUUUCUAUUAUUCUAUUAGUAGUGAUUCUUAAUUUAGUAUUACAAUCUAUAUGACUUUCUGUUACUGCUAAUCUUCCUAAAUUAUCGACUUGUUUUAUAUACUCACUAAAUUUUUAAUCGAACAAUUUUGUAAAGUAAUGCAAGUGUAAUUAUCUAAAGGCAUGCAAGGUAAUUUUGAUUUAAAAAAAUCUUAUAAACAACUAUUCUUUACUACAUACUCCCCAAUUCUCUUAUAAACUUCUGUCAAAUUGAUUGGAUAACAAAUUAAUUUCUCCCAAAUACUAACUGAAAUCAGUACCCUUUUUGAAAAUUUCUAAAAUUUGUUUCUCAAAAUUUGGAGUAUAAAAUCAAACUUUUCAAUUAAAACCAAAUUUUUUUUUUUUUUUUCAAAGAACUUCUUCCUCUUAAGGACAUGGAAAUCCCAACACAGAGCCUCUCUUCUUCCCUAGAACGUCUAUCCUUCGGCUAGAAUGAUAAGUUAGGAGUAAAACUGGGUACUUAGAGGUCCUUAUUCAAGGCUUUAGUUUUUUUUGUAGAAACUUAAGUUUUUCUUUAGAGUUUGAUUUAAUUUUUCACAGAUAGAAAACAUUCAUCAUGAGCAAAUAAGAAGAAACUUCAUUCGUAAUGAAAGAUUUGCAAUAUAAAACUUGUUCGCUUAUAAACACAUAGAAACUUACAAAAUAUUAGGUUCCUCUGUUAAAGAAGAACUAAGUAACUUAGCUACAAUACAUGUUGAAUAAAUUACUUACUUGAAUUAUCUUCUACAAAUACAAAAAGGAUAUUGAGCUGAUUUUUCAUUGCUUCUUUGAUCGAUAAUCAGCAAAAGAGGUGACUUUUUUAUUUAUUUAUAGAGUUCUUCCUAGCUACUUAUCCUCAUCUUCUACUGCUUCCUUAUCUUCUACUUACUACCUGUGUGGACUAAAAUGCUUCACAUAACUAAAGGGAGUGUCGUCAGAAUUAUCACUAUAGGUUUUCCCUUUUUAAAGUUAUGCUUCAAAACAAGUAUUAAGUAAAGGUUGCCAAUUGGAGAGUGGACUGUUGAGUCAUGCUUUUAGCAUGUUAUUAAGGUUGUGGGCCUCGACAGCAUUUAAAUUAUUCUAGCAAUCUCUGCCAUCAUCUUUUUUUUUCGCUUGAUUGGUCUUUCAAAAGAGCUCUGUAAGCCUUGAUAUUAUUCUUAUACUAUUAAUGGUAGAAAUCUACAAGCUGAUCAUUUGUGGUCCUGGACAAAAAAAAGGAACUUUAGCAUAUUCUGAAGAGAAUUUAUUUUUUUGAUUAAAGUCUUCAAUAAUUAAUUUUGGACUGAUCGAUGAGUUAUCUAAUGUUUCAUCAUCUAAUGUCAAUUUUUCUUUCUAUUAUUCUACUUCUCCAAUGUCUAAUCUACUUAAUUUAAGAAUUAUUAUUGAAAUCCAAGGAAUGCUAGAGCCUUGCAAGUUGUCAAAUUCUCUUAUGGUCUUAAAUCCCUUAAGAAAAAUGGAAUGUUAUGCUUGAAAUUCAUAGCAUGCUUCUUCCUUGAAUGGCCAUUCUGGUGUUUUGACUGGAUAUAUGCUAGCAUGAGCUGUUUUCCCAUUGCUAUUAGAUUAAGCAUAGUUGGUGUUAACCUUCUCCCAAAUGCAUCUGUCUAGUAUGGGUCUCGAGCAAUAACUUGAUUAAAAAAAUCAAAAUCGAAUAAUAACUUUAGAGUUAAUAUUAGUAGUUUAUCUCUGAAUUUUAGUUCCAUCGGUGAAUAUAAUCCUAGAUCAAUGUUGGCUCUUACAAUACUGUAGGUGAGAUGACACUUAUAGUCUGCAUAUUCUAGUAGAAUUUCUUGGCAGAAUAGGUCAGUUCUUGGGCAAACUUUUUAAAUAUUGCCACAAUAGGUCUCCUAUAAGAUAAGAAAAUCUAGGUGUUUUGUGGGCAAACCAUGGGGUUUCGUAGCUAUGCUUGACAUAAUCUUGGAGGAAACUCUAAAUGAACUCUAUUUUUUUUCAUUUUGCACUUUGGCUAGAUGUUUUUUAAUGAUUAGUCAGCCAUAAUGGGAUAGUUUGAAGGUUCAGUAUGUGCAAAGGAAAAAGGUUCUACUCUCUCUCAUUUCUAGCUCGCUUUAGUUAAGUGUUUUGCACUCAUUGCCUGCUUUAUCCAGUGGGGUUAAAGGUUUUGCCUUUACCUGCCAAUGGGGCUAAUAAAUUCUUGAACUUAUCUUUUAAAGAAUCUCUUUUUUUCAUACAAAUCUUUCGUAGUGAUCACAAAAAGAUAAAGUGUUAAUAGAAGAUAAAACGACUCCAUUGCCUUGUAUAUUUUGAACAUAUGGUGAUGGGUGCUCAUAUAAAGAUGGUACACUGCUAGCUAUGUCUUUUGCUAAUGGGCUUAUGAAAAAGCUCAGGGCAAUUUGUUGUUUUACAGCAUCAAGGGCUCAUUUAAAAUCAUAAAAUCCUUGACAAUGAGGCUUUUAAAAAUUUGUGAUUAGUUGAAGAACUUCAAGCCAAGUAUGGUAGAUACCUGGUGUAAAUCCUUUAAAAACCAUGUAAAAACUAAAAUUUUUACUUAAAGGCUUACUUUGGAUUUUUGUAAAAUAAAAUGUCAAUGUAUUUAAAGCUGUUAAGAUCUUUCUAUUAUCAUCCUUUGCAUUCCAAAUGUUGUCUAGAAGGUAUUGUUGUGAUUCAUCUAUCUGACUACCAAAUAAAGGCUUGAAAGAUAAAUUAGUUCCCUUCGGGAAUGUUGGCAUACUAAUUUGUCUGAAGUUUAUUCUCUUAUCGUCCAUCUGCAAAAUCACAAAGUAUGUUAGAAUAAAUAUCUCUUUUUUAGUAAUCAGUUAAUCUAUUAUCUACUCCUUUGAUUUGUUCAAAUUCUAAUUUAUAUCUAUUACUUGUUAGAGUAUUAACAAAAUUUAACCAUCUUGUACUACUUAACUUUUUCUCAUUAGUUUUAUUAUAAAAUCCAACAAUUGCUUCAUAAUCCUUCCUUAUUGUGAAAGGCGGAUUGAGAAAUAAUCUAAAAUUAUUUAAAGCAUUUAUAACUCCUAAAAUUUCAUAAUCUAAGCUGGUUAAACUAUUUUUAGAUUUUUUUAGAGAUCUGAUAAGUAUCUACAAAUUUUCUUAGUACUCAUACUAUCAUAUUUACUUGGUUUGGAGAGUUAUAUUGCUCCCCAUCCGUGUUCACUAGCAUAUGUUUCUACAACUUUAUACUCAUUUUCUAAUGGUAAAGCUAAUUAUGAUAAUUCUUUACAAACUCUAACUAAUUAUAUAUUCGAAGAAUUAAAGAAUUUUUUACCUCCUGGUUUGGUUUUACUGUACAAAGGUCCUAGUUACCUUAUUAAGGUCUUUAAUGUACAUCCUAGUAUAAUUUAAUAUUCCUAAAAAGGCUUAUAAUUUUUUGUAUCUUCUAUUUUAUCUAGAAAAUCUAAUAUUUUCUUCAGCAUGUGUUCUCAUAAUUUUAUCUUUUUUUUCCUAUUUUCAUUCCUAAAAAUUUUAUGUAGUAUUUACAAAGUUCUAUUUUCUUUUUACUAAUUAUAAAUCCGUUAUUGACAAACUCAUUAAAAACCAUAAGUAAAUGAUUACCAUAAUCUUCUAAAUUCUUGCGAAACACUAAUAUGUCAUCUAUUUACUAUAUUUUUUAAAUAUUAGAUCCAUCUUAUGUUGAAAAAUAAAAGGGGCAUUUUUUAAUCCAAAUGGCAUGAGUAUCCAUUCAAAAUAUCCUUCAAGGCAGCUGAAAGCAGUCCAUAUAAUAGAAUCAUCAUCUAUUUUAAUUUGCCAAAAUUUUGAUUUAUAGUUAAAUUUACUAAAUAUAUUUGCAUUUUGGAUGCAAUUAAUUAACUAAUCUUUACAGAGAUUUUGUAUUGAUCUUCAUAUGUAUUAUCAUUCAAACAAUUAUAGUUUAUAACUAUUUGUGCUUUUCAUCUUUCAAUUUCAGUAUGAUUUCUAACCAUGAAUGUUGAACUUCUAUGCCUACUAUUACUAUGUCUAAUUACUCCUAACUUUAAUAAUUCUACUAUUUGAAUGCUAAAUUCUUCUAUGUCUUGUAGACUAUAGUCUCCUUUAGCUGUUUUAAUAGUAAAAUCUACAUUUUUUAUGUUUAAAUGAGCUUUAAAUUUGCUUUUAUCUCGAUAUUUGAUUGGGUCUUUUUCUAAAACUUGUGUAGUUUUUGCUAAUCUAAUUAAAUUUAGGCCUUUUAGUUUUUACAUCUAUAUAUUUUUUAAUGCAAAAUAAGAUCACAAAAAUUUUCUAGAUCUAAAUAGAGAUGGCCACCGAGCCGUGCUGUGCCGGCCAAGGCCCAUUAAAGGAAGCACACUCGUGCCAUGUUGUGCCCACUAUGCGUUUCGUGUUGUGUCGUGCCGUACCUAACUUUUUUUGCUUAGACCUCGCCCGGCACAUGUGCUGUGCCCACUCGUGCCGUGCCGUGCAUAGGAAAAAAACCCACUAAGUUUUUUUUUCUUUUUUAGUUUUUAAGAGCGCAUGCCAAGUUGUUGUCUUAUUUUUUUCAAGCCUAUAUACUUUUUUGAAUUUAUGUGCCUUUAUUCAAAUUUAAUAGAAUAAAAAAUUCAAAACUCAAGUCCAUAUUCAAUAAUAAUAAAUUAAUAAUAAUAAGAGAAUGUAAUAGUAGUUACUAAGUUUGACUCUAUGGUAUUAGAAUUCUUUUUUAGUACUUAACAACAACAAUAAUAAUAAUAAUUUUUUAAGGGUUAACUCAAUUGUUAACUUGGAAUUACAUAAAGUCAUAUAUAAUAGUUUAUAAUAAUAUUAAUACAUAUUUAUAAAAUCAUGAUAUUUGUAAUUUUAUUUAUUAAAAUCAUGAUAUCAAUUAUUUAUUUAAUAAAUUAUAAACAUAAAUCAAUUAUAAUUUUUUUGAAACUAAGAAUUAAAUAAAUUUAAAAAACUUGAGCUAAUAAAAUAUAUUAAAAGAUUCAAUUUCAAGUUAUUUAUAAAAUCAUAAAAUUUUAAGUUUACUUUCAUUAAAAAAUAAAACAUGCUUAUUAUGUACUUUUUUGCGUGUCGUACUUUGGCCAAUCUCUAAUCAUGUCGUGCUUUUAAGGCCCACGUGCCUAAAAUUCUAAGCUCGGCUCAGCCCACGUGCUUGCCGUGUCGUGCUGCAUGCCCUACCGAAACGUGCUUGUGCCGUGCCUCGUGCCGUCUACCCCAUUGGCCACCUCUGGAUCUAAAUCACAAAAAUCUACUUCUCUAUUAAUGUAUAGUUCUUUAGGAAACUAUCUAUAACUUCUUUAUUACUUUGUAUUAUUGGAUCAUGCCGAAAAUCAAAAUGACUACUUGUUACUAUUUCUAAAUCAUGUGAAAAAUCAAAAUAAAAAUAACUUUUAUUGGUCCCAUCACGCUAUGCACACAACUUUGAUUGAACAUGCUGAUAUUGGGAAAAAUGAGAAAAACAAAAAUCAGUUGGGGUAACAACUAUUCUUUUAAAGAAUAAAACAUAAUUAGUAUUGAUUAACAUUUUGGCUUCACAAGUACGUAUAAAAUUUAAUCCUAAGAUUUGAUUGAUUCGAUAGCCUAUGCUUGAGGUAAAGGAUAAUAUUUAUCGAAAGCAUUUUCUACUGUGUAGAAACUUGUUUGUAAAUCUCUGAUACAUUUAUCAUACUUUAAUCCAGUUCCAUCUAUUUGCUCUGCAAAUCUUGGUUGAGGCAAUAUUUGCAAACAAUCUGUUGCGACUAAAUUAAUAUCUAUAUAAGACUUGCUAUUCCCUAGAUCUAUCAUGACUAAUAAUUCUAUGGUAUUAUCAUUUCUAAAUUUAAUCUUACUAAUAUACCAAGUAAGGUGAUUUGAGGUACUAAUAGGUUGUUGAUCAUCAAAUGUCUUAAAAUGUUGAUAUAGAAAUUCGUCCAAAUAUUCAUUCUUGGCCUCAAUAAUUUGUUUAUCCUUCUGUCUAUUUUGGUUUUGUCCUAACUUAAUAAUAUGUUGUGUAAUUUCAAAUUCUUGUUUUUCUAGCUGGAAUUUUAACCUUUCUAUUUCUAAUUUUAUUUUUUUCUAUUUCUAAGUUUUGAGAUUCUACGAUUUGCUUAGACUCUUUUAUUUCAACUAGCUGGUUUUUAUAAGUCUUAAUUAAAAUUUUUUACAAACUUCUAUCUUAUAAUACUUACACUUAUAUCUAAGUUCUAUGCUAGGAAAAAGUUCACAUGUAUUACAUAUAAUAUUAUUGGAUCCUCGUCUAUGUACAAAUUCAUGCUGACAUUCUGCUUUUUCAUUUAAUUGUUCUAGGUCUAAUCAUUCUUCAUCAUCUAAAUCGGUAGAUUCUUAAGUAUCAGAUUCUAUUUAAAUCUUCUAAAUAUUCUAAUUUUAAAGUUUCAUAAUUGUUAAUUGUAUUGUAGGCUUCACUAUCAUCACUACUUAUACUGUAAAAGAUCGACACAUUCUUUAAAACAAUCAUUUUUUUUUUGUUAGGAUAAGCAUUUGCAAAAUGUUUUGGAUCUCUACAAAUGAAACAAGUACAUAUCUAUUGCCCCUUUUCCCUUUCUAAUAUGUUUGGCUUUUCCUAAGGAUUUUUCUUUUAUUACUGUAUUUAUAGGUUUUAAAAUAUUUUUUAUACUUUUUCUUUCUGUAUUUCUGGUCUUUAUACUAUAUAAAGUAUAAAUAACUUUUCUACAAAAAUCAGAAGGCUGAUUUUUUAGCAUUUUCUGAAUUUUAGCUUAUACACAUUUUUCUCUAACUAUAUUAUAGGGUAAAUAUUAUUCUUAGUUCUAUUCCUAAACAUUUCUUCAACUUCUUAUUCUUCCACUCAUUUUCUAUUACUCUUCCUAAAAUUUCUUAUAAUGUUCUAAAAUAUUUGUCACCUAUUUCUUCAUCAAAUGAUUUACUAGUUUUGAUGGUAAUUAAUGCAAAAUCAUUGUUAAAUUCUCUAAGAUAUUUCCAACUUUAAAAUUGUAGUUGGUCAAGGUCUGCUAAGGCUACAUUUUGUAAAAAGGUAUUGCCUCUAGUUGGAUCUAAUUCUAUACAUAUUUCCCUAAUAAGACUUGUAAAAUUAUAUGGAUUAUUCCCUAAUUCUUUGCUUUCUGAAACCUUUUCAGCAAAAUCUCUUUUAAAAGUAUUGUAUCAAUUUCUUACUAUUUCUCCUAAUAAUGUUUCUAAAAAUUCCCCCAUAUCAUCACUAUGAGUUCGGUUUUGCCAAGCUUUGAUUGCAUUUGCUUCACAUCUAUUUAUGACUUCUGGCCAUAGUUAUGGAUCCCAAGCUGCUAAAUUUAGUAUGCUACUAGAUUUACUUGUUGUUGGCAAUGUCCUAAUCUCAUCUACAUGUUAUCUUUUAUCAUAAGUUUUAUAAUCUUAAUCCUUUUCACUAUAAUUGUUGUGCAAAUUUUAAUGUACUCGCAAGCGCACAAAUCUAUUGUAGUAUAGAUCAAUGGUGACGAGUGUCGAUCCCACGAGGAGGUGGAUUUUAAUUGUGUGUAGAAUUAAUUUUUUAAAUGGGUGAUUAGAUUUGUGGUGGAAAUGAUUUGGAAUAUGCUAAAACUUAAAUUAAAAUGGCGAGAAUAAAUUCUAAAAUUGGAAUUGAAAUGACGAGAAUAAAUUCUAAAAUUGGAAUUGAAAUGGCGAGAAUAAAUUGAAGAGAAUUCUAUUGAAAUGACGUACUUGGGUAUCUGGAUCUGUAUCAACAUGCAUCAUGGGCUAAAUAAUCCUUAUUAAUGCCAAUUAAAUCAUGAGGGGGGAAUCCACACCUCAUGAACCACGCUCUAAUCAAUAUGGUGCUAAGGGCUUAUCGUGCCAAAUAAUAAUAACCUUGUACUAGAGAGCCGGUGUAACCAAGGCGGUAUCUAGACAAGAUUAUUAUUAUUUGUCGACGAAAAGUCAAAUCAUCCACAAAAAUUAGAGGGGAAAAGAAAAUAAAUUUACCAAAUAAAGCCCAUGACACAUGUUGAGACUUCACCUUCAACCCAAGUUUGAAAGAAAAUUAGCUACUCAUAAUUGAACUAGGGGUAAAAUAGGAAUUUAUUAAAAUACGUAGAAAAUACAAGAUGGAGAAGGAAUUACAGAAAAUGGAUCCCAAAAAUGGAUUCAGAGAUAUCAAAUUAGGGGGGGGGGGGCUCCUUUUUAUAGAUACAUGGAGUAAAUCAUGGCCAUCGGAUUAAAAACAGUUUGGACGCUCAGGAUUGUGCCACGUCAUCAGUCAAUAGUACGCGGUUUGACCACGUAGAUGAACAGUAACACGGUUUGACCCGGGUUGAACAGUAACGCGGUUUGGUUGAAAAUAAUCCUGUAUGAUGCAUGUGCCGUACGCGAGAUUUUUUGUCCACUGAUAUGCUGCCACGUCACCAUCAACAGUACAUAAGAAUUUUAGUCCAACAGGAUCGUGACACCUCAUCAGUCAAUGCCACAUCAUCGGUCAAUGCCACGUCAUUGUCCGUUUAUGUGAACAGUGUCGUGAACAGUACGUAUACAAUACCGUACACGUGAAUAGUACCAUACAUGUAAACAAUGCCAUUUUUCCUUUUAUGCUCCUCCUAAGGUUUUCGACAAUCCUGAGUUCAAAAGUGAUGUCCGUUUUGCCAUCUGAUCUCUCGUUUAUUGUGAAAUGACUAUGAUGCCCCUAAAAUACAUAAAAUACUUAAUUAAAAUAAAACACACGGAAUUAAAUCAAAAGAAGGUUAAAUACCUAAAAGUAAGGGUGUUAGAAAGGUUGUAGUGUAAAAUGACGAUUUUCUCCUUUAUAAAUAUACAUUUUCUAACACUCAACACACCCCCCAACCAGCUUAUUGCUAGUCCCUAGCAAAUAAAGCGAAAACAAAAUUCAAAUCCAAAAUGAUUUUUUUUUUGUGUGGAAACACUCGUGUUUAUUAAAUCAGAUUAAUGAUAGCAAUCAAAUAAAAGUAUAAGCAUUAUCUCCAGUCUAAAGCAACAUCACACCCACAUCAAUCAUCCAUAUGAAUCAGCCCAGUAGACUUUGUUAGAGCUACUUUCAAGAAUGACAUGUCAAACCCCAAAGUCUCACUGGAAGUAGUGACAUUCUCACAAAGAAAUUAAACCCAAUAAAAAUAGUCACUCCAAUGAAUGGUAAUUGAGAGAAAAUAAUCAAGAAGUGAUAUCACAUGCUCUCACUAAGAUGAAAGAAAUAUGCUCUCAACUUAGAAAUAAUACGAUCUCAAGUCAAAUAAAAAAUGCUAGUCAACCCAAUUUAUUUAUUCAUUUAUUUAUUUAUUUUUUUAUGCAUCACUACAUCUUUUUAGCCCAUAUAACUAGCUUCUACUUCAGAUUAUAGUUCCCUAAAAUCAAGAAGGACUUUUAUUAGGACGUAACGUAGGCUAGGGACAUGGCUAACAAAGAAAGGAAAUAAGGAAAAUAAAGUGUAUGUUUGAGAAAAAUAUAGAGGAUUUGUUUUUUUUGGAAGUUGCAAGAUGUAUUUCUCCUAUUAUUGUUAUUUUUUUUUUUCUUUUUCGAAACAACAAUUUUUUUUUUUUUGCUUUUGUUGGGCAUAACUUCAUUAUACAAAAUAUUUAUUUACAUUUUUCUCAAACAUAAAUAGGUGAUGGAACUUAUAAGACAUCGGGUAAUACUCCAAAUUGGAGUGGGUUAAGAUGAUAAGUUUAACAAAUAAAAGGUUUUUUUUUUAAGGCUCAAAAUGGUUAACUGUGCAUAUUUCACAAAAGGGAUGGCUAGAAAGGCUCAAACAGAUCAAAAAUUGGCCUUUCCAUCGUCUUUUAGGGCUCUAAAUAAUCUUCCAUAUCUGCUAGUUAGAUGGGCCUCCAAAUGUAGCAACACACAUUUUAUUUAUUUAUUUAUUUAUUUAUUUAUUUUAAGGGUUAACUCAAAAGAAAUCUAGAGAUCGUGUAUACAAUAAUAAACUGCUAAGCUGUAUAAAGAAUUAGUAAAAGAGUUACUCUCCAAGAAAAAUGAUAGGCUCAAAAACUCACAUGGCACUUAUUUAUGACAUGUUCAUUCCUUCAAGCUACUCAUAUUUGUCUCCGGCAUCAACAUGUAAAGUAGCAAACAUAGCGUAACAUCACUUAAGACAAAAAAUAAUACAAAUACUAAAAUUUGAAAUUAAUCAUGUCAUCCAAUGUUAAAACAAAUCACACAAUUUUUUUUUUAAACAACAUUCUACCCCCCAACCUAUUCUAAACAUGAAAGGAAAAUAUGCAUGUAGAAAUGUGAAAAUGAUGCAAAAAAAUCUAAUUAGAAAAGUUAGACUUAAAAUGAUAGAAAAAGAAAUGUUUUGUUUUGUUUUUUAUUUUUUUAACUAAGAAGAUGUGUUUCUAAAGGCACUACACUCCAUAUUCAGCCAUCUUCGACUCAAAAAAAUUUGAAAGUGUAUAUUUAUAAAGGAGAAAUUAAAAAGAAGAAGAAAAAUAAACAUCAAAACAUAAUAAAGAAAAAUGAAAAUGUCUGAAUUUGUUUUUUUCAAACGAUGAAGAUGCAUUUCUAGAGUCACUACACUCCAUAUUCGGCCAUUUUCAACACAAAAGGUUAGCAACAGUUAGUUUCUACAACAAAAAAUUAGUAAAAACUUAACCAAGAUUCCACAAUUUUCGACUAUUCCCUCCCCCCAACCAGAACGAAACAUUGUCCUCAAUGUUGUAAAGGAAAGAAGUAGAGUUUAGAAGACAUCACCUGGGUGGUGCAACACAGAAGAAAAUAUUUACAGGCGGAGAGUUAAAUCUAAUUUGUACUUCUUACUGCGGCUACUGUUACCAUCAUUAUUUGGGCGCUCCAACACAAAGGUCCAGGGGUCUGGCUCCGGUUUAUAAGCUUGUAACAGAUCAAGUAGCUCAUUAGCAGUGUGAGCACAAAUAAAAAGUUUUUUCACAUUAGAAGGAAUGAAAUAGUUUUUUAUUACAUGGUUAAGAAAUGCGAUAAAGCCAUCAUAAAAGUUAUUGACAUUUAACAAACCGAUGAGUUUAUGGUGAAUGUGCAGAUGGGCCCAAGAUGCUAGUGUGAUAAGUGCCUCUAGUGUUGCAAGAUCUCCUGGAAGGAAAAUAAAAGCAUCAGCAUGAUUAAGCAUUUCAGUUAUUCUUUCUUGCAUACCUGAGACGACUAACUCUUCUCCAGUUGAUGAGUCAGACGAACUGCCCAAUGGUUUUAGGACUCUUGGGAUGAUGCCUAACACUUGACUUCCUCUGAUAAAAGCUGCUUCUGAGACCAUUUUUGAUAACCCACGGUUACCUCCUCCAUACACCAAGUGUAAUUUUCUUGUUGCUAUGCUUCGACCAAGAUUUAUGGCUGCCUCAACGAACUCUUUAUGUUUGCCAUAGGUAAAUCCAGAAAGCACACAAAUGUUCUUGAAUUGUCUAUUGGGAGUAGCUGCCAUUGAGAUACUUUUCAAAAACAAUUUGUGAGUGUUUGAAAAAAGAAAUCACAUUUAAGAGUCUUGGUGACAGUGGGUCACAGCUGUGUAUGAGGUAGCAUGUCAGUGUCAAAUAACGCGUAAAGCACAUGGCUCGCGAGUCAAAAAGGAAACAGUAAAAAGGAAAAAGCAAACAGUAAUAAAAUUAUUAAAGACAAUAAUGCAAACAAUAAAACAACAGUGAAAUGAAAUAAAAUAACAGUAAAGUAAAAGGAUAUUUACACGUAGUUGCGACUGUGGCUCACAUCUUCCUCUGGUUUUACAUCCAGAAACAGCUUGAACACCCUCUAUGGGUCGAGGAUGGGCUUCCCAUCCAGUUUUCUUAUAAACUGGCAAACAUGGUCGUUUAUAGUCAGAUUCCCGAGACUAUAUCGUGCAUGCUCUUUCUGGAAUAAUGGCCAUAAUUGGAUAAUCGCUCCUUGCACAUAUCCACUGGGAUGCGUUUCAAGAGACAAAAGGAUAUCAUCCAAUGACUCCUUAUUCAAGCCAUCCCUAAUGAAUUGAAUCUUAUCUUCCCUGUUAUCAGACACCAUUCCUAAAGAACAUGAGUUUUUAUCGCAACUCAUUCUGGCACACUUAUGACAAGCAACCAAAAUUCUUCAAGCUCGUCGUUUUCUUGCAUAAUUUCCUUUACCACAAUCAGGCAUGUAUGCAAUAAAUUUUGGAGGUAACUCACCUGCCGAUCGUACUUUAGCCUCGAUUAACCAACAGAUGUCAGCAGGUAUGUUAUUCCUCAUGAGCAAUCGCAUGCGUUCGAACCGAGCUUUAUAGAUGGUAAGGAGGGCAUUCUGAGGAAGUGAAGGGAAUCGCUUGUGAAGCUUCGCUAGAAUCUCGUUUCUGUCCAUACUUUCGCCUCAGAAUGUCAGUUAUUAUGGGAAACUGAAGUAACUGACUUGAUUGUCACGGAGUACCGUUAUCCGCCACUUCACCGGGGUAACAAACUAAAGCACACAAACAAAAAAACAAAUUAAAACACACAAAGAAAAUUAAAAUUGCCCUCUUAUUGAAUUUACCUCAAGCUCCAACUGGAUGUCGUAAACACUUCUCUCAAUAUCUCGGAGUUGGCUUUCUAGAUUCUCAACAUAGGCUAAUAACUCUGGUGGUUGUAGAGCCCAAAUGCGUUGUGUUUUACAAAAUUGAAUCUGCCUUUUGAGAUGAGUUUUGACACUUUGAAGUGGUUUAAGAAUGUUAAGGAGGAACGGUCUAAGUAUGGUACUCAUUAUUAACAAUGAUAAGAAAAAAAAUUAAUGGUAAAACAAACACACUUAUGCAAAAAUAAUUUCAAUUAGCAAAAGAAUAAUAAAAAUAAAGAAAGAAAAAUCAAAUCAACGAAAAGAAAAGAAAAAAAUCAAAUCAAAUCUGGUGGGUCACUCAAAUUUAUUUCAGUGUCUUCUCCAUGUGGUUGGUACUCUAGAUAUGACUUUAAUCUUUGACCAUUAACUUUAAACGUGACACCGUUCUUUGGGUCCUUAAUUUCAAUUGCCCCAUGUGGAAAAACAGUAUGAACAAUAAAGGGACUAGACCAUUGAGAGCGUAACUUACUUGUGAAUAGGUGCAUGCGAGAAUUGAAUAAAAGCACUUUCUGACCUGGAGUGAACGGUUUUCUCAUAAUUUGCUUGUCAUGGAAGACUUUCAUUCGUUGCUUGUAAAUCUUGGCAUUUUCGUAUACAUCAUUGCGAAUUUCUUCAAGUUCUGCUAGUUGUAAUCUUCUUUCUGAGCUGGCUUGCUGCAUGUCAAAGUUGAAUUUCUUGAUGGCCCAAUACGCACGAUGCUCGAGUUCCACAGGUAGGUGGCAAGCUUUUCCAUACACUAGCCUGUAGGGUGACAUCCCAAUCGGGGUCUUGAAAGCCGUUCUAUAUGCCCAUAAUGCAUCAUCAAGUCUUAAUGACUAAUCUUUUCUGUCUGGCCUCACCGUCUUUUCUAAUAUGUGCUUUAUUUCUCGAUUGGAGAUCUCAACUUGGCCACUGGUUUGCGGAUGAUAUGGGGUCGCCACUUUGUGUGUGAUUGAAUACUUUGUCAAAAGUGCCUUGAAUGCUUUGUUACAAAAGUGGGCACCACCAUCACUGAUUAUUGCUCGAGGGAAUCCAAAGCGUGAAACAAUGUUGCUUUUCAAAAAUCCUAUCACCACCUUGUGAUCAUUGGUUCUACAUGGAAUUGCUUCUACCCAUUUUGAGACGUAGUCAACAGCAACCAAUAUGUAUUGAUGGCCAAAAGAAGGGGGAAAUGGUCCCAUGAAGUCGAUACCUUAUACGUCAAAAAUUUCAACCACUAAAAUUGGAUUUAGUGGCAUCAUGUUCCUUCGUGUAAUACUCCCCAUUCGUUGACACCUAUCACAUGAAGAACAGUAAGUGUAAACAUCUCGAAAUAUAGUUGGCCAAUAGAAACCACAUUGUAAAACUUUAGUCGCUGUUUUUUUAGCACUGAAAUGGCCUCCACAAGCUUGUUCAUGGCAGAAUGAAAGGAUAUUCUGAAUUUCAUUUUCUGGGACACAUCGUCUAAUAAUUUGAUAUGCACAAUACUUGAACAAAUACGGGUCAUCCCAAGAGAAUUUCUGCAAAGAAUUUAGCAUUGUCUUGUUUGGUCCAAUGCUCUGGAAGUUGAUCUGUAACAAGAUAAUUAACGAUAUCAGCAUACCAUGGUAAUACUUCCACACUCAUCAAUUGUUCAUCUGGGAGUGACUCAUUCAAUGGUAAUGAUUCCAUAAUUGUGUCAAAAUGGAGACGAGAGAGAUAGUCCGCUAUAACAUUCUUUGUGCCUUUCUUAUCUUUAAAUUUCAAGUCGAACUCCUGCAAAAGUAACACCCAACGAAUUAGUCUAGCUUUUGCAUCUUUCUUUGUGAGAAGAUAUUUAAGAGCAGCAUGAUCUGUGAAUAUAAUUAUUUUACAACCAAUGAGAUAAGAUCGAAAUUUCUCUAAUGCAAACACUACUGCUAGCAUUUCUUUUUCAGUAAUUGAAUAGUUCAACUGUGCAUCAUUCAAUGUCAUACUAGCAUAGUAAAUAACAUGGGGAAUUCGAUCAACUCUUUGUCCUAAUACUGCUCCUACUGCAUAAUUAGAUGCAUCACACAUGAGCUCAAAUGGUAAGCUCCAGUUUGGGGGCUGAAUGAUGGGUGAUGAUGUCAACAACUGCUUCAAUUUUUCAAAAGCCACAAGACAUGAAUCAUUAAUGAUAAAAGGUACAUCCUUAGCAAGUAGAUUGCAUAAGGGUCUAGAAACUUUGCUAAAAUCUUUAAUGAAACGUCUAUAGAAACCAGCAUGCCCAAGGAAAGAUCUUACUUCUCUGACUGUUUUGGGUGGAGGAAGAUUAGAAAUGAGAUCCACCUUGGCUUUGUCAACUUCAAUACCUUUGCUCGAAAUGAUGUGACCGAGAACAAUACCUUGUUUUACCAUAAAAUGACACUUCUCCCAAUUUAAGACUAAAUUCUUCUCGAUACAUCUCUGCAGAACUAGUGUUAGAUGAUGUAAACAUUGAUCAAACGAAUCACCAAAGAUAGAAAAAUCAUCCAUAAAGACUUCAAGGAAUCGUUCAACCAUAUCAGAAAAAAUGCUCAACAUGCAUCGUUGAAAUGUGGCAGGUGCAUUACAUAAUCCAAAUGGCAUCCUCUUAUAUGCAAAAGUGCCAAAAGAGCAAGUGAAAGUAGUUUUCUCUUGAUCUUUUGGUGCUAUGGGAAUCUGAUUAUAUCCUGAGUAGCCAUCUAAAAAGCAAUAAAAUUCAUGGCCUGCUAAUCUAUCAAGCAUUUGAUCAAUAAAUGGUAAAGGAAAAUGGUCUUUACGUGUGACAGAAUUCGACUUUCUAUAAUCAAUGCAUACACGCCAUCCUGUAGUUACUCUAGUUGGUAUCAAUUCAUUAUCAGCCUUGGUAACUACUGUGACUCCUGACUUUUUAGGGACAACUUGUACAGGACUGACCCAUGAACUAUCAGAAAUUGGGUAAAUGAUACCUGCGUCUAAUAGCUUAAGGACUUCAGUUCUAACAACUUCUUUCAUAUUAGGAUUUAACCGACGUUGCAUUUCCCUAUUAGAUUUAGUAUUUUCAUCAAGGUGAAUGUAAUGCAUGCAGUCUACUGGGUUUAUACCUUUUAUGUCCGCUAUGGUCCAUCAUAAUGCUCCUUUAUGCUCUUUUAAAAUAUCCAACAACUUACCUUUUUGUUCAUCGUUGAGGGAUGAUGAGAUGAUUACCGGUAGAGUGCUUUCUUCUCCCAAAAACGCAUAUUCUAAAGUGUUGGGCAAUGGUUUGAGCUCGAGUUUCGGUGGUGAUUCUGAUGAUGGGAUGAGUUUCUUCUCUAAUGGUGCUAAUUGUUCAACUCUUGACUUCCAUUUAUUAGUGUCCAUAGAUGGUGCUGAGUCAAGUAGAGCGUUGACUUCAUUAACUGAUAUGUCAAUAUCAAAAUCAAAACCAAAGUGAGUUAAGCAUGUCUGUAAAGGAUCAUCACUAAGGUUUGAAAGAAAAGUAUUAUCAACUAUUGUUUCUAUUAAAUCCACAUCAACAAUUCCAUCAUUUGCACUGUAAGGUUGUUUGGCAAUAUUGAAAAUGUUUAGCUCCAUAGUCAUGUUGCCGAAUGAUACCUGCAUAUUUUCAGUCCUGCAUUGAAUGUGAGCAUCCGUAAUUGCCAAGAAAGGUCGGCAUAGAAUAAUGGGGAUGUGCUUCCUUGAAUCCUGUAUUGGUUGAGUGUCAAUUACAAUGAAAUCAACAGGAAAAUAAAACUUGUCUACCUGGAUAAGCACGUCAUCCACAAUACCACGAGGUAUUUUCGUGGACCGAUCUGCAAGCUGUAACACCACUGGAGUUGGGUGUAAUUCUCCAAGUCCAAGUUUCAAAAAUACUGAGUAAGGCAACAAAUUUACACUAGCUCCUAAAUCCAACAAAGCAUUCUCAAUUGUAUGGUUCCCUAUGCUACAUGAAAUAGUGGGGGAACCUGAGUCUUUACAUUUCAGAGGAAUUUUAUGUUGGAGUAUAGAACUAACAUUUUCUGUUAAAAAUGUCUUCUUUUGAACAUGAAUGUUUCUCUUUUUAGUACAAAGGUCUUUAAGAAACUUGGCAUAAGAUGGAACUUGUUUAAUAGCAUCAAGCAAAAGGAUGUUAACACUUACCUGUUUGAAGAUUUCAAGAAUCUCACCUGUGGAUUUUCCUUUUUUUCCUUUAGUUAACCUCUGAGGAAAUGGAGCUUUCGGAACAUAUUCUCGUGAGUUGGUUUCUUCUUUCUCCUCCGGUGAUGAUUCCUCAACAUUCGCAGGUACAAUUUGAUUUUUUUUUGUCACCGGCAUCUCCACUUUGUUGUCGACUUCAUUUCCUUUUCGCAAGGUCAUGACUGCUUUGACCUCUCCAUGCUGCUGUGGUAAACUGGUACUUGCUUCAUGUACUCCUUUAGGAUUAAGCACUGGUUGACUUGGAAAUUUUGCUUUCUCAACAGUCAUUGCCAAGGUCUGAACUGAAGAAGCAAGUUGUCCCACCAUUUUCUUGAGGCUUGAAACUGAUUGAGCUUGUGAGUUAAAACUUGCUCUCAACUCAUUUCGUAGUCCACAAUGGUGUGGUUCUGUUGUUCAAUCAUGGAGUGAGUAACAUUCUUGAAAUUCUGGAAUGCAUCCUCCCAUGGUCUGGGUUGAAAGUAGUUUUGGUUCUGAUUGAAUGGUCUAAAUGGGGGCUGAGAGGCUUGAGGAAUUUGAGAAAUUUGUUGCAUUGGUGGAGCUGGAGUCGUUGGUCCAUUCUGUUGGAAUCCUUGAGACCAUGAAAAAUUGGGGUGGUCUCUCCAUCCAGGAUUAUAUGUGUUGGAGUAUGGGUUGUAAUUUGAUGGCUUUCUCAUUACACCUAUGGCAUUGGCUUGAUAUGGGUAUGAGUCAUGGUCAUGUAGUUCUGUUGAUUUAGCAGUCGAUAACGAUGCUAUUUGUCGAGCAAGACCUUCAACCAUCUCCUUGACUUCUUUGAUUCCCGAAGUUGACUCGCCAAUUUGAACCUCAUUUACUCCCUUAAUUCUUCUAGUAUUCCUGAGUGAUCGACUCCGUUGUUGGGAAUUAUCCGCUUGUCGCUGGAAGAAUUCCCAAAUUUCUGAUGCAUUUUUUGACAUUAGCUCUCCUCCACUUGUUGCCAUUAGCCAUUCUUGCACAUUUGGCAAUAACGCUUCCAAAAAGUAUUGGCAUUGGUGCCAUUUCUCGUACCCAUGAUGUGGACACUUCAAGAGUAGCCCAUUGAAUCGCUCCCAUGUUUCGAAAAACUAUUCGUCUUCUCUCUGGGUAAACUCUGAAAUUUCCCUGCGAAUAGCAUUGGUUUUAUGCACUGGGAAAUAUUUAUUCAAAAACUUCGUUACCAUUUGUUCACAUGAUGCAAUGCUAUUAGCAGGCAAUGUAUUAAGCCAUGAACGAGCUCUAUCAUUUAAAGAAAAUAAGAAUAAUCUGAGUUUAACAUCAUCGUCUGAAAAAUUUUCAUAUUUAAAAGUUUGACAAAUGGGAUGAAAAUCAUUCAGAUGAUUAUAUGGGUCAUUAUUUUCUAGGCCAUAGAAUGUUGGGAGACAAUUUAGCACACUAAGUUUUAAUUCAAAACUCCUAGCAGCUACAUUUAGGUAUCUUAUGCAUGAUGUGCUCAAAUUAGCUAAAGGACUAAAAUAAUCCUUAAAUGGCCUCUCAUGUGGUUGCAAAUCCAUUUUAUUUUUAACUUGUUUGUGUGUGCGAAGUGUUUUCUCAAGUUCAAGGUCUAUAGGUUCAAGAUUGGGUAAUAAUGACCUACGACCAUGUAUGCAAAGAACACAAAAUAAAUUGGAACAAAACAAAUAAAAAUAAAGAAGAAUGAGAAAUUACGGUACUAACCUUAUUGCGCUGUUACAAUUUUUCUAUAAAAACACACUAAAACAAAUACGUGAAAUAAAUUAACUAAGAAUUAAAUUAAUAAGAAAAAAAUUACAAAGAAAAAUAACUUAAAAAUUAAAUUGCAGAAUUGUAAAGAAUAGAGAAAGAAAAGAAAUACUAACUUCAAAAUGCAGAUUCACUUUUUUUUUCUUUUAUAGUAAGAAAAAAAAAUACAAGAAAACAAAUAAAAGAAAUUAUUCACAAAAAUUAAUUCUAUGAAUUAAAAUUACUUACCUCCCCGGCAACGGCGCCAAAAACUUGUUGUGCAAAUUUUAAUAUACUCGCAAGCGCACGAAUCUAUUGUAGUAUAGAUCAAUGGUGACGAGUGUCGAUUCCACGAGGAGGUGGAUUUUAAUUGUGUGUAGAAUUAAUUUUGUAAAUGGGUGAUUGGAUUUGUGGUGGAAAUUAUUUGGAAUAUGCUAAAACUUAAAUUAAAAUGGCGAGAAUAAAUUCUAAAAUUGGAAUUGAAAUGGCGAGAAUAAAUUGAAGAGAAUUCUAUUGAAAUGACGUACUUGGGUAUCUGGAUCCGUAUCAACAUGCAUCAUGGACUAAAUAAUCCUUAUUAAUGCCAAUUAAAUCAUGAGGGGGGAAUUCACACCUCAUGAACCACGCUCUAAUCAAUAUGGUGCUAAGGGCUUAUCGUGCCAAAUAAUAAUAACCUUGUACUAGAGAGCCGGUGUAACCAAGGCGGUAUCUAGACAAGAUUAUUAUUAUUUGUCGACGAAAAGUCAAAUCAUCCACAAAAAUUAGAGGGGAAAAGAAAAUAAAUUUACCAAAUAAAGCCCAUGACACAUGUUAAGACUUCACCUUCAGCCCAAGCUUGAAAGAAAAUUAGCUACUCAUAAUUGAACUAGGGGUAAAAUGAAAAUUUAUUAAAAUACGUAGAAAAUACAAUAUGGAGAAGGAAUUACAGAAAAUGGAUCCCAAAAAUGGAUUCAGAGAUAUCAAAUUAGGGGGGGGGGGGGGGCCUCCUUUUUAUAGAUACAUAGAGUAAAUCAUGGCCAUCGGAUUAAAAACAGUUUGGACGCUCAGGAUUGCGCCACGUCAUCAGUCAACAGUACGCGGUUUGACCACGUGGAUGAACAGUAACACGGUUUGACCCGGGUUGAACAGUAACGCGGUUUGGUUGAAAAUAAUCCUGUAUGAUGCAUGUACCGUACGCGAGAUUUUUUGUCCACUGAUAUGCUGCCACGUCACCAUCAACAGUACAUAAGAAUUUUAGUCCAACAGGAUCGUGACACCUCAUCAGUCAAUGCCACAUCAUCGGUCAAUGCCACGUCAUCGUCCGUCUAUGUGAACAGUAACGUAUACAAUACCGUACACGUGAAUAGUACCGUACAUGUAAACAGCGCCAUUUUUCCUUUUAUGCUCCUCCUAAGGUUUUCGACCGUCCUAAGUUCAAAAGUGAUGUCCGUUUUGCCAUCUGAUCUCUCGUUUAUUGUGAAAUGACUAUGAUGCCCCUAAAAUACAUAAAAUAAUUAAUUAAAAUAAAACACACGGAAUUAAAUCAAAAGAAGGUUAAAUACCUAAAAGUAAGGGUGUUAGUAAAGGUUGUAGUGUAAAAUGACGAUUUUCUCCUUUAUAAAUAUACAUUUUCUAACACUCAACACACCCCCCAACCAGCUUAUUGCUAGUCCCUAGCAAAUAAAGCGAAAACAAAAUUCAAAUCCAAAAUGAUUUUUUUUUUUUUUGGAAACACUCGUGUUUAUUAAAUCAGAUUAAUGAUAGCAAUCAAAUAAAAGUAUAAACAUUAUCUCCAGUCUAAAGCAACAUCACACCCACAUCAAUCAUCCACAUGAAUCAGCCCAGUAGACUUUGUUAGAGCUACUUUCAAGAAUGACAUGUCAAAUCCCAAAGUCUCACUGGAAGUAGUGACAUUCUUACAAAGAAAUUAAACCCAAUAAAAAUAGUCACUCCAAUGAAUGGUAAUUGAGAGAAAAUAAUCAAGAAGUGAUAUCACAUGCUCUCACCAAGAUGAAAGAAAUAUGCUCUCAACUUAGAAAUAAUACGAUCUCAAGUCAAAUAAAAAAUGCUAGUCAACUCAAUUUAUUUAUUCAUUUUUUUUUUUUUUUUAUGCAUCACUACAUCUUUUUAGCCCAUAUAACUAGCUUCUACUUCAGAUUAUAGUUCCCUAAAAUCAAGAAGGACUUUUAUUAGGACGUAACGUAGGCUAGGGACAUGGCUAACAAAGAAAGGAAUAAGGAAAACAAAGUGUAUGUUUGAGAAAAAUUUCUUGUUCUAUAUUUGUAAAUCGAUUAUCAUAAAGAUAAAUUAAGGCUUUUGCACUUAAAUUCUCUCUAUGUAAUCUUUUUAGUUCGAUUAUAACUAAUCCUAAAUGGGUCUGUUUGGGUUCUUUAUCUCUAUUCUGAUUAUAGGAAUGCUUAUAUGUUAAAUCUAAUUUUAUCAUUUGAUUGUCAUGCGUGCAUGACACAUAUCUUUCACUAUAAUUUUGAUAUAGCAAAGAUUUACUAAAUAAAUUUCCCUUUUUAUAUAUAAUAUUUGGAUUGAUUGAAUAUAAUUUAUUUUGUCUAAGCCUUUCUAUUUGUUUGUCUAAAUCUGUAAGACGUUAUAUUUUAACUUCAUGACCUUUUUUCUUACUAAAUAUUCUUUUUACUUACCUUCUAAUUUACUACUACUGACUAUUUGCUUACAUUUAUCCAUUAGUAAUAUCUAUAGCUCUUAAUUUGCUUAGGUUGAAGGCUUCCUAUAUCUGUACUAAUUUUAAUAUUUUCGAAUCUUCAUAUUAAAUCUUCUAAUUCUGAAGUUGGUAUUACUUCUGAAUUCUUGGUAUUUUCCAAUUGUUUUAAUUUUAAUCUUCCUUCUUCUAUUCUUGAUAUUUUAUCUAAUUCUAUUGUAAUUUGAUCUUUUAUGAAAUCUAAUUUUUUUUCUACGUUCUUGAUGACUACUCUAUUUUCUCUUAAACUAUCUAAGGGUGCGUUUGGGAUUAAGGUGCUGUAGCUUAAAAGCUACAGCUGCUGUGAAAAAAAAGCUGUAAUUAUAAAACAAAAGUUAAUAAUAUAUAGUAAAUAUAAAUUUUAAAUAAUAAUUUUGAUAAAAUUAUUAAAGAUAUAAUAAAUUUUAUAUUAUACAAGUGAAAAAUCAUAUCAACAUAUCUUAAAAGCUACAACAGCUAGUGUUUACCAAACACUUUAGUGCUGUAGCUUUUAAGCUACAGCUGCCCAACCUCAAUCCCAAACGCACCCUAAGACUAUCUUAAAAUUUUUAUUAAUCUUAUCCAGUUUUGAUUUCAAAUUUCUACCUAAAUUAACUAUUAAAUCUACUAAACUAUUUAAUAGAGAAUUUUCUGUAUGUAGGUUGUGUCUAAAAUUACCUUUUAUAUUAUAAUCUAUACAAUAUUUAUCUAAGCUUUUCUUUUUACUAUGAUAGGUGUUAAGUUCUAAAUCUAAAUAUUCUAUUCUCUUCAUAAACUGUUGGAUCUUCUAAUUAGAAUUAACUAAUUAAACCAUACUCAGAUACCACUUCGUGCUUGUGUGGCGAGAAAUGAAAAAAAUAGCCUAAGUAAUAAAUAAAAAAGGCUCUAGGGGUGAAAAUGAUCAAAAUUUUAUGAUUGAUCAACUUUUAUAAUGUAGACUUUCUAAAACUUACCGCUUUGUGCAAAGUGUUGUACAAUUAUCCUUUUCCCUCAACUGAUGAUCUUCAGAAUUAAGUCCAUUAAAAAAUUUGGAAGAAAGAAAAAAGAAACAAAUGCAUUAAGAUGUAUGCAUGUUUGACUUAAAUAAGGUAUGGAGUUAUAAGAUGUAUGCAUACUUGAGACUUAUAUAAAGUAAUCAAUUCAUUUCAUGAAUUAAUUUUUGGACCAUUUACGGAUUAAAGGCGUCUUUAAGGAGAGUAUCUUUUGAGAAUCCAAGGAUAGUGCAAUUACAAAAUUUCAAAAUCUCAAUACGUUUUUUGAUAAUCACAUGAUAAUAAAAUUAUAAAGAAAAGGAUCCUUGUUACAUUACAACAUCUGUAUUUUAUAUAAUUUUUUUUUUUUUGUUGAUAACAAUAUUGUCGGUACAUGUCUCAAAUGUUUAGAACCACAAGCCGUACAAAUUCACAAAUUGCACAAGCAAUUUUUUUUUUUUUUUAACCAAUAACGAAAGAGUGCGGUUGAUGGUACUUACAAGAGCUAACAUGUUCACCCGACACCUACGUAUAAAGAAAUCAUGCAAAGUCGAGGAAGCCAUUUUAAAACUCCAUUGAUUUAAUUAUUUACGACAUUAACAGGUUGGCCAUGUUGUCCUGCACUUUUUGAUGUUUAUUUGACUCACCAUUAUUUCACAUUGUCAGGUCACAGAUUUGUAAUUAAUAAUUCAAUAACCUGCUGGUGUUGCUGCUGCCUCGUGCUCGUGUCGCUGCGAAUUGCAAAAUUCCAUGAUACAGUGAAAUCCACCAGUACCUCGGAGUGUUUUGCGGCGUUAACUUUAUUUAUGUCAAUAUAUGCUUAAUUUUUCUGCAGUCACACCAAUUUAACAGCUUUGCUCGAGUCUGGCUAUUGGGAUAAAUUUUGAAGCCUUGUUAGCUAAUUCCUUGCUUGAAAUGGUAUGACCAUUGGUUUUAAUUUCCAUUAAAUUCAGGUGAAACGGAGCAACGGAAGUUACCUAUCUGAUUUUCGGGGUCCUAAAGAAAGUGGGUUGAGGACUACCAUUUGUGACGCUGAAACCAGCAAGAUUUCAGCCACCUGUCAGGAGAUACCGCUCAAGCAACCUUCAAUCCCGAUUUUGGAUGAAGGCCAUACUCCAAGGAACGAGAACACUGAUGUGCUGCUGUCCCUUGCAAAAGUACGGGCACCUCGAAAGGUUGUGCUUUCAGGAAAAAUCAUGUCAAUGAGCUGUUCAAUAUUUUAAACCUUGUUCGUCCUAAAUUUCUGAAAUCGGACACAUCCCGGCCUGUUAUUAAGCUUAUAAUGAGUAGAGUGCAAAUGUUUGGCUAAGGCAAAUGCACAUGAUACUUUUUACGAAUUGGUAGGGCACUCUCUGCAAAGCGAUGAGAAUUUUCAAAGGAAAGUGCGGGAGAUGACUAGCGAAGUCCUCCAUUAUUAUAAAGGAGAUUUCUUGAAUGAGCUUCCUGGACUUGUAGAUUUCACUGUAGUGCUGAAUCUCAGUUCCAGACAAAAGAGUGAAAUCCAGAAGUUAAAGAAGUGGUCUUGGAAGAUUAAGAUUGCUGCAGCUGGAAAUGCUACUUAUCUGCAUCCGAAAUUGGCUGCUUGUCUGCAUCCGAAAUUGGCUGCUUGUCUGCAUCCCAAAAUGAAUUCCCUCUCUGAGAAAAUUGUCCCAGCAGAUGAUAAGAUGGACGAGUUGUUAGAUAGAUAGGAUAUAAAAGAUGGGGUGAAGGCUAAAUUCUUUCUGAAUACGUUCAACUGAAGUGAUGAGUGACAAGCUACAUCUAUUUGAUAGAGGAAUGUAAAGAGAAGACUAGAAGACUAGAAAUGUUUUCGCUUAUUCUUUGAAGCAUUACAUGAUCCAAAACGAGAAGCACGGAUUAAAAAACAUGACAACUCACAGAUUCUCAUAUUGGGUUGCUAAUACCCUAUGCUAAUACCCUAUCAAUCAAAGCAAGUAACAAGUUGAUUCAACUGCUAAGAACUUAAAUCCAUGUCAUGUGUGAGAGAGAAUAAGAGAUUUUGCAAUUGACGUUCCCUCACAGCAGGUUGAUUCCAGAAGAAAAAUAAGCCCUGGGCCCUAGCAGCAUGGAGAAUGAAUCAUUUCAAAGAAGAGACAUUCACAGUAAGUUUACAACAAUUUAAAUAAAAGAGCUUACAAUUUAUAUACCGUUUUUUUUUUUUUUUUUAAUUAUACAAACUCGCAGCUGCAAACAGUAAAUAUGCGAAGAGCACAGUAAGGAUAAAAUAUGCUGUAAAUUCAAAGCACAAAUGACAAUCAAGUACCAAUAAAGUGACAAGCUGCAACUAGUUCAUUAGCAAGCUUCUAAAGUGAUGGGUCAUUAAGAGAGAAGAAGACAGAGGGUGUCUUUACAGUUUGUCGUGGCCAUUCAAUGAAAGCACUAUAGUAAAUAACAAGUUGAAAAACAUGACACAUUUUUAAUUUGGCAUCAACAACCACGUACGGUCGGUGAUCACAUAUGCUAGCUUAUCCAGAUCAGGAUUUGUAAUAUGAGAGGUAUUCCCCAGACCACAACAACAAUCAGAAUCCAUAAACCAGAGAGAACAUGCUGUCACCAGGCAACAUGUCAUUUUCUAACACGAAUGAGAUGCUACAGAACAGGUUUUUAGGCGGAAAACACUUGCUGCUACUACUUAACAUUUGACUCAUCAACUUCCUCCCGUCGCUCUUGGCCAGGAAAUGACGGAAGUGAGUUCAGACAAAUUUCAUUCUUUGCAAGUAAGUCCACAACGAUUGAAACUAUUGAUGCAUCUGGCAUUACAUUUUUCUCCUUCAUCUUGUGAAGAAGUUCAAUAACUUUUGAUGGCUCAUUGAUUCGGAUAAAACCAUGGAUAAGCAUAUCAAAUGUGACAAGCUACAUCUAUUUGAUAAAGGGAUGUAAAGAGAAGAUUACAAAUGUUUUCGCUUAUUCAUUGGAGCACUGCAUGAUCCAAAACGACAUGCACAGAUUAAAAAAAACAUGACAACGCACAUAUUCUCAUGUUGGGUUGCUAAUACCCUAUAAAUCAAAGGAAGUAACAAGUCCAACUUAAAUCCAUGUCAUGUGUCAGAGGGAAUAAGAGAUUUUGGAAUCCAAGCAUGCUCACAGCAGGCUGAUUCCAGUUGAAACAUAAGCCUCAGGCCCUAGCAGCAUGGAGAAUGAAUCAUUUCACAGAAGAGACAUACACUGUAAUUUUACAACAAUUUAAGUAAAAAAGCUUAAAAUUUAUAUAAGGUUUUUUAAUUAUACAUCUAGCAGCUGCCAAAGGUAAAUACGCGAAGAGUACAGCAAGGAUGAAAUAUGCCAUAAAUUCAAAGCGCAAAUGACAAUCAAGCACCAAUAAAUUGACAAACUGCAACUAAUUCCUCGGCUUCUAAAGUGAGGGGUCAUUAAGAGAGACUAGACAGGGGGUGUUUUUACAUUUUCUUUUGACCAUUCAAUGGGAGCCCUAUAGGAAAUAACAAGUUGAAAAACACGAUACCAUAUUUAAUUUGGCUUCAACAACCAUGUACAGUUGGUGAUCACAUAUGCUGGCUUGUCCAGAUCAGGAUUUGUAAUAUGAAUGGGACUCUCCGGAUCACAGUAAUCAGAACACAUGAACAUCAUCAGCGAGAACAUGCUGUCACCAGCUGAGAUGUCAUUUUGUAACACGAAUGAGAUGCUCCAGAUCAGGUUUUCAGGCUGAAAACACAUGCUUCUGCUGCUUGACAUUUAACUCAUCAACUUCCCCCUGUCGCUCGUGGACAGGAAAUGACGGAAGUGAGUUCAGACUAAUUUCAUUCUUUACAAGUAAGUCCACAACCAUUGAAACUAUAGAUGCAUCUGGCAUUACUUUUUUCUCCUUCAUUUUGUGAAGAAGUUCAAUAACUUUUGAUGGCUUAUUAAUUCGGACGAAACCAUGGAUAAGCGUAACAAAAAUGAUGACAUUGGGCGCCACAGCAUUUUCUUCCAUGUCAAGAAAUAAAUCAUGUGCCUUAUCCAUUUGGCCGUCAUUACAAAGCCCAUGGAUCAUGAUGUUAUAUGUUACAACAUCUGCUACGAGGACUCUACGAGGCAAACUACGAAACAGUUCCAAUGCAAUUUCGAGUCUGCCGGAUUUACAUAAUCCAUCAAUGAGGCAGUUGUAGGCUUGAAUAUCAAGUUCACAUUUGAGUAUUCCCAAAGUACGAAAUAGUUCAACUGCCUCUACAAUAUAACCAUUCUUGCAAAGCCCGUCAAUAAAGGUGUUAUAUGUAGAGGUAUCAGCUGCCACGCCAUCGCGCUGCAUCUCUUCAAACAGUUUCAAAGCAUGCUCAACCUGGUGUAUCUCAAAAAGGCCAAGAAACAAAGUGUUAUAUGUAACAACCGUUGGCUUUAUUCCUUUAGAAACCAUUUCGCGAUAAAGACUUAACGCUUCCUCCACUUCCUUAUUCUUGCAGUACCCAUUUAUCAAAAUAUUGUAACUAACAUCAUCAUGUUUGCAACCCAUACUCUCCAUAGAACCAAAUAGUUCCUCCGCACGAUUAAUUUUACCCGUCAAGCAAAACCCAUCCAUUAAUGUGCUAUAGGUAAAAGCAUUUGGACGCACAUCACGCUGAACCAUCAGGUCCAACAACCUACUUGCUUCAUCCAUCUUUCCAUUUUUACAAAGCUCGUCCAUGAUCACAUUGAAGGUCACAACACUAGGCUGUACCCCUUGAUCCAUCAUCUCAAAAAACAAACGCUUUGCCUCAUUCCAAUCAUUAGCAUGACAUAAACCGUGAAUCAAAGAGUUAUAGGUAACCACAUCGGGGUUAAUGUUCUCAUCCUUCAUCUGCAGAAACAGUGCCUUGGCCUUGUCCACGAAACCUUCCUUACAAAGACCAUCGAUGAUAGUGUUGUAUGUAACAGUAUUUGGCUUACAAACGACACCAAUUUCCCCAUUUCCAUUAGCCAUCUCUUCAAAUAAAUUUAAAGCAACGAUUGUAUGGCCAGUUCGACACAAUCCAUUAAUUAAAGUACUGUACGUAAUGACAUUAGGCUCACAACCAAACGCUUUGAGUUUCGUAAACAAUGCGGCGGCCUCCAUGAUUCUACUCUCCGCACACAAACCUUUAAUCAAAGAAGUAAAGGUCACAGCAUCUGGAGUAAAACAAGACCUGAGGAUCCUCCCAAAAAUUACAAAACCAAGAGACACUUGACCCAUUUUGCAAAAGCAGUUAAUCAAGAUACUGUAAGUACAAAGAUUUGGAAACAACCCAGUUGAAUUGAGUCUCUUGAAGAGUAAAAGGACAGUAUCAUAAUGUUUAGUCUUAGCAAGACAACCAAACAAAAUAUUGAAGGAAGUCACAGGAGGCGGAGAAGGGUGCAUAUGGAGCAUGUAAUCAAAGAUACACAAGGCUUCAUUAGGAGUAAUAAGAUUAAUGUCACCUUGACCUGAUGGUUUGCACCUUUUUCUGAGGAAUGUUUCGAGUGAGG